This 238-nucleotide long non-coding RNA is filed under the name Olea europaea subsp. europaea. Lineage: Eukaryota; Viridiplantae; Streptophyta; Magnoliopsida; Lamiales; Oleaceae. The record is from RNAcentral.
CUACAUUUUCAUGGAGUUGAUUUCAUUUCUCUCCCAAUUGUUGGGAGCACCAGUCCCACGCGGAAAUCAACAAUUGUUAUAGGGGAGAGAGAGGGGAUAUAAAUAGAACUUGCUGGUAUGUGGUUACUGUAUGCAUGCUAAAUUGAAUAAUGUUGUUCGAACAGGGUCACGUCGGCCCCUUGGACAGACGGGCCACAGGCCCUAUUCGUCUAGCAAAACUCUGCUAAAUUUGUUAAGC